RNAcentral lists this ribosomal RNA (742 nucleotides) under uncultured bacterium. RNAcentral describes it as "bacterial SSU rRNA". It matches the Rfam family "Bacterial small subunit ribosomal RNA", at positions 8 to 796 of the family's 1533-position model. The record is from RNAcentral.
AGAGUUUGAUCAUGGCUCAGAGCGAACGCUGGCGGAAUGCUUAACACAUGCAAGUCGCACGGGGGCUUCGGCUCUAGUGGCGGACGGGUGAGUAACGCGUAGGAACGUGUCUUGGGGUGGGGGAUAACGCUGGGAAACUGGCGCUAAUACCGCAUGUCUGCUGCGGCAGAAAGCCUUCGGGUGCCUUGAGAGCGGCCUGCGUCCGAUUAGCUAGUUGGUGGGGUAAAGGCUUACCAAGGCUUCGAUCGAGCUGGUCUGAGAGGACGAUCAGCCACACUGGGACUGAGACACGGCCCAGACUCCUACGGGAGGCAGCAGUGGGGAAUAUUGGACAAUGGGCGCAAGCCUGAUCCAGCAAUUCCGCGUGGGUGAAGAAGGUCUUCGGAUUGUAAAGCCCUUUCGACAGGGACGAUGAUGACGGUACCUGUAGAAGAAGCCCCGGCUAACUUCGUGCCAGCAGCCGCGGUAAUACGAAGGGGGCUAGCGUUGCUCGGAAUUACUGGGCGUAAAGGGCGCGUAGGCGGCGCAUUUAGUCAGGCGUGAAAUUCCUGGGCUCAACCUGGGGACUGCGCUUGAUACGGAUGUGCUAGAGGAUGGAAGAGGCUCGCGGAAUUCCCAGUGUAGAGGUGAAAUUCGUAGAUAUUGGGAAGAACACCGGUGGCGAAGGCGGCGAGCUGGUCCAUUACUGACGCUGAGGCGCGACAGCGUGGGGAGCAAACAGGAUUAGAUACCCUAGUAGUCC